This is a non-coding RNA of Prunus mume (Japanese apricot), 1471 nucleotides long. NCBI's taxonomy places the organism in Eukaryota, Viridiplantae, Streptophyta, Magnoliopsida, Rosales, Rosaceae. The record is from RefSeq and is a predicted model, not a curated record.
CGGGAUGUCGUUUUUGGUCAAUUAAACUGUUAUUUGUCGCGCGGUGAAAACGGUCAAAAACCAAACUUCACGAGCUCCUUCAACCGACAUCUGCAAAGCUUCAAACUUUACGCAACCACCAACCAGAAUCAGACAAUUCAUUUUAGGGUUUUUAUACUUUCCCUAAAAUCCCAAAUCGAAUUUCAUCUCCCACCCAUUAACCAUGGCCAAUAAUAUUUCAGAAUCUUUGAAAGGUAAAAAGCGCGCGCGAGAGACAGAUACCGAAGCCGAAGCCAGCGAUUUCGAUCAGAUUUUAUCGCUAGAGGAAAAUCUUACAUUUAGUGACACAUUGGUGGCGCUUCGCAUAAUGAGAGCUCAGUUUCCCCAGAGUGACAAGGUAUCAGUUCAGCCUUUCAUUUUGCGGUCACAGUUGUAUAGCAGUGUAGAGGAUAGAACCCAAGUGGAUAGGGAUCUAGAGAAUCUAAGAAGGGAGAAAGUCCUGCGCAUUUUCAAGUUAAAUACUGGGCAAGAUGAUCAUGCAAUAAUGUUUUUUGAUGACUAUCUAUGCCAGAUGGAACGAGUUGUGAAAAGAUUGGAAGAAAAGAAGGACAGUGAUAUUCUUGAAGUUUUUAAGUGGUUUAAAUCACACGUCCUUGAUAACAAGUUCGAACCUAGUAUUGAACAUCAAGAACUUUGUACACUAUUAGCUCUUGGAGGAAAGGUGAAGGAUGAACACAUCUCCCUUUUAAUCAAUUCUGGCCUCCUUCUUUCUAACUAUGGCAUCUACUUCUAGACUCGGCAACUUAUUGACUCAAACAUUUAUUGGUUCGCAAUUCCAAAUAUCGGUUCAGUACUUAAAGGCCUCUCUCAGGGAAGAAAGGAAGUUCUUUCUCUUCUAAACCGCAGGAGAUACAAAGAAAUGAUGCUAGCACCUCUAGAGAAGAAGCUUCUUCGAUAUUCCCCACUUGAUAUGAGAUUUCAUCUUCGUGAUCUGAUAGGCUCAGGUCAUCUCAAAACUGCCAAGACACCAACAGGCUUAGUUGUUCGAGUCUCAAAAGAUUGAAACCGAGAAGAGUAUUUGCUCCCCAUUGAUUGAUGGAAAGAUUGCAUUUCUUCUCUUGGCUGUCAAAAUAGGUACACUGACUUAUGCUUUGAGGUCAUCAUUGCCUUAUUACGCUACGUAUAAAUUCUCCUAGAUACAUGACCAGAACUUUUGCAGGCUGUCCAAAGUGGACAAGCAAAGAUAUCAUAUCAGCAAACCGGCCCAACCCAAAGCCUAAGGAGAAUGGAUAAAACAUAACGUAUCUUCUCAGCUAGGUCUUGUAUAAUUCAUUUUUAUCUACUGUUUGGCAUCCAUAUGAAUUCAUUCUUAAUUCAAUUCUUCUGAUUGGAUUAUCCACUUAUUUAUUUUUAAUACGUUGUACUUGCUCAGCUUGGUUUGACAUCUUCACCAUUGGACUCGUGUAAACUCGGUAGGAUAAUGCAUUACAAU